This 429-nucleotide ribosomal RNA is filed under the name Pseudomonadota bacterium. RNAcentral's name for it is "Proteobacteria bacterium partial 16S ribosomal RNA". It matches the Rfam family "Bacterial small subunit ribosomal RNA", at positions 355 to 776 of the family's 1533-position model. The record is from RNAcentral. Lineage: Bacteria; Pseudomonadati; Pseudomonadota.
UGGGGAAUAUUGGACAAUGGGCGAAAGCCUGAUCCAGCCAUGCCGCGUGUGUGAAGAAGGUCUUCGGAUUGUAAAGCACUUUAAGUUGGGAGGAAGGGCAGUAAGCGAAUACCUUGCUGUUUUGACGUUACCGACAGAAUAAGCACCGGCUAACUCUGUGCCAGCAGCCGCGGUAAUACAGAGGGUGCAAGCGUUAAUCGGAAUUACUGGGCGUAAAGCGCGCGUAGGUGGUUCGUUAAGUUGAAUGUGAAAGCCCCGGGAUCAACCUGGGAACUGCAUCCAAAACUGGCGAGCUAGAGUAGGGCAGAGGGUGGUGGAAGUUCCUGUGUAGCGGUGAAAUGCGUAGAUAUAGGAAGGAACACCAGUGGCGAAGGCGACCACCUGGGCUCAUACUGACACUGAGGUGCGAAAGCGUGGGGAGCAAACAGG